This 484-nucleotide ribosomal RNA is filed under the name uncultured bacterium. RNAcentral's name for it is "partial 16S ribosomal RNA". It matches the Rfam family "Bacterial small subunit ribosomal RNA", at positions 30 to 507 of the family's 1533-position model. The record is from RNAcentral.
AUUGAACGCUGGCGGCAGGCCUGACACAUGCAAGUCGAGCGGAUGAAGGGAGCUUGCUCCUGGAUUCAGCGGCGGACGGGUGAGUAAUGCCUAGGAAUCUGCCUGGUAGUGGGGGAUAACGUCCGGAAACGGGCGCUAAUACCGCAUACGUCCUGAGGGAGAAAGUGGGGGAUCUUCGGACCUCACGCUAUCAGAUGAGCCUAGGUCGGAUUAGCUAGUUGGUGGGGUAAAGGCCUACCAAGGCGACGAUCCGUAACUGGUCUGAGAGGAUGAUCAGUCACACUGGAACUGAGACACGGUCCAGACUCCUACGGGAGGCAGCAGUGGGGAAUACUGGACAAUGGGCGAAAGCCUGAUCCAGCCAUGCCGCGUGUGUGAAGAAGGUCUUCGGAUUGUAAAGCACUUUAAGUUGGGAGGAAGGGCAGUAAGUUAAUACCUUGCUGUUUUGACGUUACCAACAGAAUAAGCACCGGCUAACUUCGUG